AUUGAACGCUGGCGGCGUGCUUAACACAUGCAAGUCGAACGUGAUUCAUCCUUCGGGGUGAUGAAAGUGGCGCACGGGUGAGUAACACGUGGAUAAUCUGCCUGGUGAUUUGGGAUGACACUUCGAAAGGGGUGCUAAUACCGAAUAAGCCCACGGACUCUUCGGAGUUAGCGGGAAAAGGGGGCCUCUGCAUAUGCUCCUGUCACAAGAUGAGUCCGCGGCCCAUUAGCUAGUUGGUAGGGUAAUGGCCUACCAAGGCGACGAUGGGUAGCUGGUCUGAGAGGAUGAUCAACCACACUGGAACUGAGACACGGUCCAGACUCCUACGGGAGGCAGCAGUGGGGAAUUUUGGACAAUGGGCGAAAGCCUGAUCCAGCCAUGCCGCGUGUGUGAAGAAGGUCUUCGGAUUGUAAAGCACUUUAAGUCGGGAGGAAGGGCUGUAGGCUAAUACCUUGCAGUUUUGACGUUACCGACAGAAUAAGCACCGGCUAACUUCGUGCCAGCCGCCGCGGUAA
Molecule: ribosomal RNA, 515 nt
Filed under: uncultured bacterium
Lineage: Bacteria
Description: partial 16S ribosomal RNA
Rfam family: Bacterial small subunit ribosomal RNA
Source: RNAcentral